Molecule: ribosomal RNA, 449 nt
Filed under: uncultured bacterium
Lineage: Bacteria
Description: partial 16S ribosomal RNA
Rfam family: Bacterial small subunit ribosomal RNA
Source: RNAcentral
AACGAACGCUGGCGGCAGGCUUAACACAUGCAAGUCGAACGCCCUAGCAAUUGGGAGUGGCGCACGGGUGAGUAACGCGUGGGAAUGUACCUUUUAGUGGGGGAUAACUCCGGGAAACUGGAGCUAAUACCGCAUACGCCCUUCGGGGGAAAGAUUUAUCGCUAAAAGAUCAGCCCGCGUGAGAUUAGGUAGUUGGUGGGGUAAUGGCCUACCAAGCCUACGAUCUCUAGCUGGUCUGAGAGGAUGAUCAGCCACACUGGAACUGAGACACGGUCCAGACUCCUACGGGAGGCAGCAGUGGGGAAUAUUGGACAAUGGGGGAAACCCUGAUCCAGCCAUGCCGCGUGAGUGAUGAAGGCUUUAGGGUUGUAAAGCUCUUUCGCCGAUGAAGAUAAUGACGGUAGUCGGAGAAGAAGCCCCGGCUAACUUCGUGCCAGCAGCCGCCGCAG